AUUGAACGCUGGCGGCAGGCUUAACACAUGCAAGUCGAGCGAGCGGCGGCCGGGUGAGUAAUGUCUGGGAAACUGCCUGAUGGAGGGGGAUAAAUACUGGAAACGGUAGCUAAUACCGCAUACCAUCAGAUGUGACAAGAAGGGAAUAGCGAGUAGGGUGGGUAAUGGCGCACCUAGGCGACGAGCCCUAGCUGGUCUGAGCGGAUGACCAGCCACACUGGAACUUAGACACGGUCCAGACUCCUACGGGAGGCAGCAGUGGGGAAUAUUGCACAAUGGGCGCAAGCCUGAUGCAGCCAUGCCGCGUGUGUGAAGAAGGCCUUCGGGUUGUAAAGCACUUUCAGCGAGGAGGCGUUACUCGCAGAAGAAGCACCGGCUAACUCCGUGCCAGCAGCCGCGGUAAUUC
This 406-nucleotide ribosomal RNA is filed under the name uncultured bacterium. RNAcentral describes it as "partial 16S ribosomal RNA". It matches the Rfam family "Bacterial small subunit ribosomal RNA", at positions 30 to 526 of the family's 1533-position model. The record is from RNAcentral.